Molecule: ribosomal RNA, 438 nt
Filed under: uncultured bacterium
Lineage: Bacteria
Description: bacterial SSU rRNA
Rfam family: Bacterial small subunit ribosomal RNA
Source: RNAcentral
UGGGGAAUCUUGCGCAAUGGGCGAAAGCCUGACGCAGCGACGCCGCGUGGGGGAUGAAGCUUUUCGGAGUGUAAACCCCUUUCGACUGGGACGAAUACCUCGCAAGAGGGGUGACGGUACCAGUAUAAGAAGCCCCGGCUAACUACGUGCCAGCAGCCGCGGUAAGACGUAGGGGGCCAGCGUUGUUCGGAAUUACUGGGUGUAAAGGGUCAGUAGGCGGUGUGGCAAGUUGGGAGUGAAAUCUCUGGGCUCAACCCAGAGGCUGCUUCCAAGACUGCUGUGCUUGAGUGUGGGAGAGGCGCGUGGAAUUGCAGGUGUAGCGGUGAAAUGCGUAGAUAUCUGCAGGAACACCCGUGGCGAAAGCGGCGCGCUGGACCACAACUGACGCUGAAUGACGAAAGCUAGGGGAGCAAACAGGAUUAGAUACCCCCGUAGUCC